CCUACGGGAGGCAGCAGUAAGGAAUAUUGGUCAAUGGGGGCAACCCUGAACCAGCCAUGCCGCGUGCAGGAAGACGGCCCUACGGGUUGUAAACUGCUUUUAUACGGGAAUAAACCUCUCUUCGUGAAGAGAGCUGAAUGUACUGUAAGAAUAAGGAUCGGCUAACUCCGUGCCAGCAGCCGCGGUAAUACGGAGGAUCCAAGCGUUAUCCGGAUUUAUUGGGUUUAAAGGGUGCGUAGGCGGCCUAUUAAGUCAGGGGUGAAAGACGGUGGCUCAACCAUCGCAGUGCCCUUGAUACUGAUGGGCUUGAUUACACUUGAGGUAGGCGGAAUGUGACAAGUAGCGGUGAAAUGCAUAGAUAUGUCACAGAACACCAAUUGCGAAGGCAGCUUACUAAGGUGUUAAUGACGCUGAGGCACGAAAGCGUGGGGAUCAAACAGGAUUAGAUACCCUGGUAGUCCACGCCCUAAACGAUGAAUACUCGAUGUUAGCGAUAUACAGUUAGCGUCAAAGCGAAAGCGUCAAGUAUUCCACCUGGGGAGUACGCCCGCAGGGUGAACUCAAAGGAUUGACGGCUGAGAGNGCGAGACGACGACGAGGGAGGAGG
RNAcentral lists this ribosomal RNA (607 nucleotides) under uncultured bacterium. RNAcentral's name for it is "bacterial SSU rRNA". It matches the Rfam family "Bacterial small subunit ribosomal RNA", at positions 338 to 948 of the family's 1533-position model. The record is from RNAcentral.